Molecule: long non-coding RNA, 757 nt
Organism: Lotus japonicus
Lineage: Eukaryota; Viridiplantae; Streptophyta; Magnoliopsida; Fabales; Fabaceae
Exons: 2
Source: RefSeq, a predicted model, not a curated record
CAACCCACCCACCGUCUCCACCUAAACAGGGCCGGCGGUGUCACCGUCGUCACCCCUUGACCUCUUAGAACCUCUUUCUCACUCCCACGCCACCACCACCAAAAAAUCCCAAAACCAGAAACUAAAGAAUCCCCAAUGGCAAAUACCCAGAAAAAACCCAUAACUCACAAACACAUCAUCGGGAUUUGCUUCACUCACAAAGCAAGUCGGCAUGUUGUGUUUUGCUUCCUUUGAUGCUAUAUAUGGCGAUGGAGGAGGACGAAGAGAUCUGAGAUGGGAGCGCAGAUCGACGACGAAAAUGGCCGAACCCACACAACAACCUUUCAAUAUAUCCCCUGUUUGUUUGAGCAGUGAAGGUGCAUGCUAAAAUUCUCCCAGAGGACUUGCGUGGAUCUUUGGUUGGAUGCCUUGCUCUUCUGUAAUUGCAAGGGCUCGUGGCUGCUGUUACUAAACUAGUGGGGGAUUUGGUUUGUUCAGGUUUUCUUUUGUGCAAUAGCAGCUUUACCAAAAUGGAAUACCAAAAAAAAAACCUUAACCAGCUCAAAGGUGUUCCCAUCUUCUCAACUUUACUGAGGUGGUUCCCGAAUUGAAGAUUAUCCUCCUUUUUCAUUUGCCCCUCUCUUUUAUUGUUUUUUUCUUCUGUGUAAUUUGUUCUUGGAAACUUGUAAUAAAGCAAGACUCUUUCUAGCUUGGACAUUCAAGUUGUGAUGGGAGAGGAAAUUCCGAUGAUAUGAAAUUAGAUUUGAAUCUGAGUCCA